AUGCCAUGUGAGGCUUUUAUAUAUGUGCGAAAACCUUCAGAGACCACACAGUCUUCUCUCCUUGUUUAUUCUUGUUUCUUGCCCUUUCUUCUCGGUUUCAAACCUCGUCCGUGGGAUUGGAUUUGUCAUUUGCGGGCUAAUUGGCACUCCAAGUCACUAAUCGUGCCAUUUCGCUUGAUCACGGUUUUGUCGGUUCGUCUCCAUUAUCUCAAUCAUUCGUCCAUUCAUAUACUCCAUCAGAUUCUGGCUCUUUUAGAUGCAGAAGCCGGGGGUAAUAUAAACAGGCAACGGUUAUCUUCCCUCGCCAUCCUCAAUUGCAACAUUGCCUUCACGACUGAUCUGAUCUGA
RNAcentral lists this ribosomal RNA (348 nucleotides) under Triticum aestivum (bread wheat). Its description in RNAcentral is "partial small subunit ribosomal RNA". Lineage: Eukaryota; Viridiplantae; Streptophyta; Magnoliopsida; Poales; Poaceae. The record is from RNAcentral.